UGCAGACCCAGAAGCAACUCCUGAGCACUGCCAGGUGUGACCCGAGAAAAAUUUAAAAUAAAUGCAAUUAAAAUGCAGGUAGAUACUCUCCGGGGAAACGCUGGCCAGCAGCACCUCUCUCCUUCCGUCGGCUACUCUGGGCAACGUUCCUGACUCUCCCUCUGCCAACUCCUGAACUCUCUCGCCAGUCCCACAUCUCUCCUACACUCUACUUCUGUCUUGUCCCACGGGCCCUACGGGGCGCUCCAGCUCAGGGGUACCCCAACAAGCCUCACUUCCCCCCUGCUGUCUUCCCGGCAGACAACGGCUUCCCCAGGAAACCGGCCUGUGAACCAUCCACCUCACCCCACCAUCAUUCGCCGGCUGCCCGCCCGGGCAACUCCGGCCCUUCCCUCUGCCCCAACUGGCGCUCAUUAAUCUGGCGGCUCGCCCGCUCGCUGGUGCACACCGCAACUGUCAUCUUCGUGUUCUCCGUGGCUCCCCAGUGCCCCUCGCUCCACUGCCUGAAAGCACCCCAGAAUGUAAAACGGGGCCUCUCCCCUUAGAGCUAUCCCAUGCUUCUCUGCCGUCCCCUGGGUCAGCACCCGGCCCUGUUCCGCCUGCCCCCUGCACUGCACCACCUGCCGCUUGCACUGGGACUCGGGGCUCCCCCGGCACACGUGGAGGCCCAGACCGUGUGCCUCCAACCCCCUCGGGGAAGGCUGCCGCCGCCUCCACCAGCAGCCCCGGUCUCGGAGCCUUCCCCAGUGCCGUACAAUCCUCUAUUAUCAUCCCUGUCACAUGUUCGGAGAGUUCUUUGUUCCCGAGCUCGCUCCCGUGGCCGACUGUGAGAACUCUUUCAGGGCAGGAAGCAAUUCGUAUUCCUCUCUCUGGGAGCAACCCUGAGGUCCCAGGCUCCGUGGGCACGGACGGGGCCAGGAGGAGCGUUUGCCAACAGGGACACUGGCCCAGCAGCGAGAGAGGAGGGGAAGCCACACUUCCCCAUGCCUGAGCGUCUGUUUUUGGGCCGCUCCCGGUGGUGCGCAGGGGACCGCGUGUGGUGCCAGGAAUCAAGCCAGGCCUGGCUGUGCGCAAGAACCAUCAAGGACCCAGAUGUGCCACGUCUCCAGCCUGGGCACCGCCACGCUGGGCCCCCCCACGCUGGGCACCUCCACGCUGGGCACCUCUCCACGCUUUGCUGAUUUCCACGCGGGGCCACGCGCCUGAUCCCAAAGGCUGCAGGAGGGCCCGGGGGAUUGCCGGAACUCGCCCGACUCGGGCCUAACACAGCCUGUGCACCAACCCAGAGCCAGAUCUGCCCAUCCCCACCCCACGCACAGCCCAGGCGUGUGAGCACGCGGCGUCGGGCGCUUCCCCAGCCCUGACUCGGACACUGAAGACUCCCUGACACGUCUGCAGGGGGAGGAGGCCGCCAGCCCUGCAAGGGCCAGUUCUUGCGACUCGGCACCUGAAAUUCAGUCGGGGCCCGGGGAUGGCUCUGCGCUAGAGCAACCUGCCUUGGACACACACAGCCCUGAGUUUGAGCCCGGGCGUUCCAAGGGCACAGAGCACCAGCCCCCGUGGCCUGUCCCCAGGCCCCCAGCCGCACAGUAACGCGUCACAGCCAGGUGCGUGCAAACACCGCAGCAGGAGCGUGGUGACCAGGAAGAUGCACAAGUGAGUCACAACAGCAACAAAGGCCAUGGAUGGAGUGCAGGGCACAACACUGGCCUUGGGUUUGACCCCUGGCACCAUUAAACACAACAAAAAUCAAUAGCAACAAAGGGGGGAAAUAAAAGUAAGUAAAAUUCAGGAACAAAAAGCUUGGUAGCACAGUAUUUGAACUCACUGGGGAAUCUGACCCUGCCCUCAAGCACAAAGCUUGGUCAUUGUGUGCGCAUGCACACAUACACACACACACACACACACACACACACACACACACACACACACACACACACACUUCCAUUUUCCUAACAGCCAAAGACUUUCCCCAGAUUUUCAACGUGCCCUGAGAGUAACUUCAGAUGGGCGGGUCGCAGGGCAUCAAAUGGACACUGCGGAAUACUCCCCCAUACUGGCAAAACCAAGGGAUCUCGACAACUUUUCAUAUCUGUCCCUGUGGUCCUCCAGCCCCACCCCAAAGACCCCAGAAGGUUCUUGCAAAUGCAAGAGGCAUCCGUCAUUGCACACAGCUGUGCGCCACGGUAGCCGGGCAGCAUCGAGUGGACACCCACGGCCGUGCAAUGAGUGAGGCUCCGCGGGCUGUGGGGACUUGGGGGCGCACGAGGCAGAGGGAAGUCCCUCCCUGCAGCCUGCCUGAGGCAGAAAUGCAGGUCAUCCAUGUAUGAAGGGGGGUGUGGGGAGCAAGGGUUGUGAAACCCCCCUGCCCCCACGACCUGUAGCCUACCUUGCCCUCCGGGACACACUUACCCACCAACUGAACAACCAACCUGUCCCUGACUUCCAAGGUCCUGCCCUUGGGGGGACUUUCUCUGCAGAGCAUCACAUGGUGGACACGUGCCCGCUUCACUUCAGAGCUCUAGGUGGCAACAAAGUUACCCGCGCCUCCUGUCUGCCCAGGAGACCGACCCCUCCAGGCUGGGCAGCAGGAGGGGCGUGGGUGAGAAGGACCCUCUCCCACAUGGCUGGGGCAAAGGUGGGGGAGGACUCACAGGUGAAACAUAGGUGAGGUUUUCUAGACCCGAGAAAGGUGCUACAUGCCUGAGGCCCAGAAGUGGAACUCAGGGACGUCCACACUCCCCAUGUGGGACGUAGCUUGCCAGCCCUGGGGUGCUGCAACUACCCCAGGUGGUGUCAGCCUCAGGUACAAGGAGAUUUUCUGUUUACUGACUUGAAGGUAGACUUGGGGGAUGCACUGAGAAUUACUUUGUUUUCUGACAAGCGGGUGGUAGGCCUAGCAAGUAAAGUUUAGGAACCUCUAUGAUGAGCGAACACAAUUAAUCUUCAGUUCACUGAGCAUCUCCAAAGAGCUUCCUGAAGGGGGAAAGCUCUUUCUGGUGCCUACAUUCAGGUGACUGUGCGCCUCCCUAACGCACUGGGAGCUCCUUUAUAGCUAAUUUUCACUGGCUGGAAAAGCAGAAGGAGAGAACCAGUAUUUGUGAUAGUUUAUGGAAAGCUGGAAAGUACCAAACAUUACUUGAGCUUUGAGAAUCAGCGAAACAUUGUACUUAGUACCACAGGCCUAAGUAUAAUCAUGUAUUGUUUCUAGAUGAACAAUUUUUGUCUCCAGGUGCCUGUCAAGUUAUAGAGGCUUGAGAGACUUUGGAAAGGGGCUGGUCCCCUGGGAGCCAUAGGACAGAGGGUAACAUGCUUGCCUUCCCACUAGCACUACUGCUUUUUAGUUUGUUUUUAGGCGCCUCCAUCAGGCUGUGCUCAAGGCUCCCUCCUGGCUGUUCCAGGGGCCAAUCCUGGUGGGGCUCGGAUAUCGAACCUGGGCUGCCUGCUAAGCAAGUGCCCUCUCCGUUGGACUAGUGACCUCCUUAAAGGAGACUGUUAGGUAUAAAGGAGAAAGAAGGACACACCAGGAACAAUCAAAUGCAAAGCCCAGCCUGGAACCUGGAGUGUGCUGGUCAGAGGCUCGGCCUGCAAGGGAAGAAGGGCCUGCCAGUUUGGAAAACCUGAACCAGGAAUCUCCAGGGGCCCAGAGGUGGACCUGUCCUGCAAGACAUCACCCGCCCCUCCAUCUCCUGAGCACACUGGACCAAUAAGGACACUUCUGUGUUGCUUAAAAUUUUCAUUACCAGGGUGGGGCCAUAAUACAGCGGGUGAGGUGCUUGCAUUGCACCUGGCUGACCCGGGUUUGCUCCCUGAGAACCACAAAAAAGGAGUAAUUCCUGAGUACAGUGCCAGGAGUAACCCCUGAGCACUGCUGGGUGUAGCCAAACUUUAAAAAAUAAAUUCAUUAGUUUUUUUUUUUGCACAGAUGUGACAUGUCAGGAUUCUGAAAACCCACACCUUCCUUGGAGGGCUUCUCUCGGGAGGACAGAAUGAAGUCAACAACACAACUGACAAAGAUCAGCCUUCCACAGAGGGAGGCCUGAAGUUCAAAUGCUGAGCAACCCGCUCACAAUCAGGAGACGGUGUCUCCCACAGCUGACACAACACCGGCCCGGUCAUGGUGCGGCCGAGUACGCGUGAGCUUCCCCCAGAGGUAACCCGCACACUCUCCUGGAGAAGGUGGCUGAGCCGCCUCUGCACACCGGACUCCAAAACAAAGCUGUCUUCUCGAUGAAGGGCUGCACGCCACCCAGCACAGCCUCGCUCCGACUGACCAGUCACACGCCUGUGCAUGGAGCCCCUAGCCACAGGUACACACGGCUCUGGAGCGCAGGACACCAUCCAUGUGGGUCAAGACACGCCUAGCCUGACUCACAUGGGAAGGUGUGCAGGGUUUUUGUCCUAUAUUUGCUUGCUUACUCACUGUAUGGGCUGGAGUGAUAGCACAGCGGGUAGGGCAUUUGCCUUGCACAUGGCCGACCCGGGUUUGAUUCCUCCAUCCCUCUCAGAGAGCCCAGCAAGCUACCAAAAGUAUCUUGCCCACACGGCAGAGCCUGGCAAGCUACCUGUGCCGUAUUCGAUAUGCCAAAAACACUAACAAGUCUCACAAUGGAGACAUUACUGGUGCCCGCUUGAGCAAAUCAAUGAGCAACAGGACGACAGUGCUACUCACCAUAUGCUCCUCCUUGCUACACAAGUAUUUAAAAUUUAUUCUUAUAUACUCUCAUCCCCAUACACACACAUACGCUCCCAAUCCUAUACACAAUCCUACAUACACACACACACACACAAAAUCCCAUAUAUCCCAAUCCUACACACACAUAAUCCUAUACACACCCAUCCUACACACACAUAAGCCUAUACACACCCAUCCUACACACACAUAAGCCUAUACACACCCAUCCUACACACACAUAAUCCUAUACACCCACAGCCAUCCAAUCCUCUACACCCCAUCCGCCUCCAGGAAGUACUUUACACCCACAUUCUACAUACAGCUGAUGGACAUCAUCAUAUACAUACCCAAUCCUACACACCCCUCACCCCCUUAUUCUACACAUGUGCACACACAAGCCGAUGAACAACUUCUCACACACAUACACACAAUCCUCCUUCUUCCCUAGCUAAGUCUGUGACCUUGAAAUCAGCUUCUCCAGUCCUCGAUGACUCUCUAAUCAAGCAGGGGACCCCAGGAAGAGCAAGGAGGCAAAAAACUGAGCCCUAGCAUCCCUCAUGGAAGGGACCAUGUAAGAGCAGGAAUCUGGGGCCAGAGUGACAGCACAGUGGGUAGGACGUUCACUUAGCACAUGGCUGACCAGGGUUCAAUCCCAGGAACCACGUGCAGAGCCAGGAGUCAGCCCUGAACACUGCCAGGUGUUGCCCCCAAACAAAAACUUAUUUAUUAAAUCUUUUAAAUAAUAAAAGCAAGAAUCCCUCUGAGUGAGCCAGCAGAGCCCCAGUCCAUAGAGUAACAAUUGUGUUCAGACGGGCCGGGGGAAACAGCGUCACAUCUCGACUCUUAGCACUGCACUGUGCGUGUCUCUUUAAAACCUCCCAGUCCUGGGGCCAGACAGUCUAGUGGGUAGGGCGCUUGCGCAGCAGGCCAGGGUUCAAUCCAUCGCACCCUAUAUGGUUCCCUCAGCCCACCAGGAGUGAUUUCCGAGCACUGAACCUAGAGUAAGGCCAGAGCACCACCAGGUGAGUCCAUCCCCCAAAAGAAAAUCCAAUGCUCAGUCUGAAAGCAUGUUGCGCUCAGAGCAGACGCGGAGCUGUGCCCCUCUUUGCUGAAGAUGAUGCUCUCUUUCAAGUUCUCAUGUGGUACGCUGCGCAGCUGAGCUGUCUUUCACUAGUGAAAAAUUAGCUACAGGGCACUUUUUUUUUGGGGGGGGGGAGACAAGGAGGCACACCCAGCAGUACUCAGAGCUUACGCCUGGCUCUGCUCUCAGGGAUCAGCUCUGGUGACACUUGGGGGACGCCGAGCACCGUCUGAGCCUCCGCAGAUUUGGCACUCCAU
Molecule: long non-coding RNA, 6013 nt
Organism: Sorex araneus (European shrew)
Lineage: Eukaryota; Metazoa; Chordata; Mammalia; Eulipotyphla; Soricidae
Exons: 3
Source: RefSeq, a predicted model, not a curated record